This 662-nucleotide ribosomal RNA is filed under the name uncultured organism. RNAcentral describes it as "bacterial SSU rRNA". It matches the Rfam family "Bacterial small subunit ribosomal RNA", at positions 1 to 663 of the family's 1533-position model. The record is from RNAcentral.
GGCUUAGAGUUUGAUCAUGGCUCAGGAUGAACGCUGGCGGCGUGCCUAACACAUGCAAGUCGAGCGAAGCACUUUGCUUUGAAUCUUUCGGGAGGACGAGUGAUUUGACUGAGCGGCGGACGGGUGAGUAACGCGUGGGUAACCUGCCUCACACAGGGGGAUAACAGUUAGAAAUGACUGCUAAUACCGCAUAAGACCACAGCACCGCAUGGUGCAGGGGUAAAAACUCCGGUGGUGUGAGAUGGACCCGCGUCUGAUUAGGUAGUUGGUGAGGUAACGGCUCACCAAGCCGACGAUCAGUAGCCGGCCUGAGAGGGUGGACGGCCACAUUGGGACUGAGACACGGCCCAAACUCCUACGGGAGGCAGCAGUGGGGAAUAUUGCACAAUGGGGGAAACCCUGAUGCAGCGACGCCGCGUGAGCGAAGAAGUAUUUCGGUAUGUAAAGCUCUAUCAGCAGGGAAGAAACUGACGGUACCUGACUAAGAAGCACCGGCUAAAUACGUGCCAGCAGCCGCGGUAAUACGUAUGGUGCAAGCGUUAUCCGGAUUUACUGGGUGUAAAGGGAGCGUAGACGGAUAGGCAAGUCUGUAGUGAAAGCCCGGGGCUCAACCCCGGGACUGCUUCGGAAACUGUUUAUCUAGAGUGCUGGAGAGGCAAGUG